Molecule: transfer RNA, 98 nt
Filed under: Wolinella succinogenes
Lineage: Bacteria; Pseudomonadati; Campylobacterota; Epsilonproteobacteria; Campylobacterales; Helicobacteraceae
Description: tRNA-Sec
Rfam family: Selenocysteine transfer RNA
Source: RNAcentral
GGGGGGCAUGCGACCCUGGUGGGCGCCUCGGGCUUCAAACCCGCUGGAUGGGCAGGUGUCUGUCUGUCGAGAAGUUCGAUUCUUCUGCCUUCUCGCCA